This 465-nucleotide ribosomal RNA is filed under the name Vreelandella stevensii. RNAcentral's name for it is "partial 16S ribosomal RNA". It matches the Rfam family "Bacterial small subunit ribosomal RNA", at positions 338 to 795 of the family's 1533-position model. The record is from RNAcentral. Lineage: Bacteria; Pseudomonadati; Pseudomonadota; Gammaproteobacteria; Oceanospirillales; Halomonadaceae.
CCUACGGGAGGCUGCAGUGGGGAAUAUUGGACAAUGGGGGGAACCCUGAUCCAGCCAUGCCGCGUGUGUGAAGAAGGCCCUCGGGUUGUAAAGCACUUUCAGUGAGGAAGAACGCCUGGUGGUUAAUACCCAUCAGGAAAGACAUCACUCACAGAAGAAGCACCGGCUAACUCCGUGCCAGCAGCCGCGGUAAUACGGAGGGUGCGAGCGUUAAUCGGAAUUACUGGGCGUAAAGCGCGCGUAGGUGGCUUGAUAAGCCGGUUGUGAAAGCCCCGGGCUCAACCUGGGAACGGCAUCCGGAACUGUCAAGCUAGAGUACAGGAGAGGAAGGUAGAAUUCCCGGUGUAGCGGUGAAAUGCGUAGAGAUCGGGAGGAAUACCAGUGGCGAAGGCGGCCUUCUGGACUGACACUGACACUGAGGUGCGAAAGCGUGGGUAGCAAACAGGAUUAGAUACCCUAGUAGUC